UUCUUCUAGAAUCAUGAUCCUGAAGAUUUAAACUACUUUAAGCAACUGGAGAGCUCAGCAUCCAAACUGAAACAGUCUAGAAGAAUAGAAACGACUUUAGGAUGUCAAAUGGUUUGAUGUAAGAGGGGAUUCUCCUUUCUACUUUGAAUAUGUGAUGGGAGUGCUGAUCCAAAAUGAGCCAAAAAAUGGUGGUAAGAAUAGAAAGAAAGGAGACAACUGUACAAAGUAUAGACUUGCAAUGUGCUUUCUGGGUUAUGUUUUCCUAUGGACAAAUGGAAACAAAUGGCGAAUGAAGAAAUAAACCUCUAAAAACACCAAACA
Neofelis nebulosa (Clouded leopard) is the source of this 321-nucleotide long non-coding RNA. RefSeq lists it as uncharacterized. The record is from RefSeq and is a predicted model, not a curated record. Lineage: Eukaryota; Metazoa; Chordata; Mammalia; Carnivora; Felidae. The transcript has 2 exons.